RNAcentral lists this transfer RNA (73 nucleotides) under Monimopetalum chinense. RNAcentral's name for it is "tRNA-Ala". Lineage: Eukaryota; Viridiplantae; Streptophyta; Magnoliopsida; Celastrales; Celastraceae. The record is from RNAcentral.
GCCGUACUGGAAGGUGCGGCUGGAUCACCUCCUUUUCAAAAGCCGCAAUCAAUAGGAUUUUCCUAACCCUCCC